Molecule: ribosomal RNA, 491 nt
Filed under: uncultured bacterium
Lineage: Bacteria
Description: partial 16S ribosomal RNA
Rfam family: Bacterial small subunit ribosomal RNA
Source: RNAcentral
AGUGAACGCUGGCGGUAGGCCUAACACAUGCAAGUCGAACGGCAGCACAGUAAGAGCUUGCUCUUACGGGUGGCGAGUGGCGGACGGGUGAGGAAUACAUCGGAAUCUACUUUUUCGUGGGGGAUAACGUAGGGAAACUUACGCUAAUACCGCAUACGACCUACGGGUGAAAGCAGGGGAUCUUCGGACCUUGCGCGAUUGAAUGAGCCGAUGUCGGAUUAGCUAGUUGGCGGGGUAAAGGCCCACCAAGGCGACGAUCCGUAGCUGGUCUGAGAGGAUGAUCAGCAACACUGGAACUGAGACACGGUCCAGACUCCUAGGGGAGGCAGCAGUGGGGAAUAUUGGAAAAUGGGCGCAAGCCUGAUCCAGCCAUACCGCGUGGGUGAAGAAGGCCUUCGGGUUGUAAAGCCCUUUUGUUGGGAAAGAAAAGCAGCAGGUUAAUACCCCGCUGUUCUGACGGUACCCAAAGAAUAAGCACCGGCAAACUUCGU